This 574-nucleotide ribosomal RNA is filed under the name Salmonella enterica subsp. enterica serovar Infantis. Its description in RNAcentral is "bacterial SSU rRNA". It matches the Rfam family "Bacterial small subunit ribosomal RNA", at positions 110 to 680 of the family's 1533-position model. The record is from RNAcentral. Lineage: Bacteria; Pseudomonadati; Pseudomonadota; Gammaproteobacteria; Enterobacterales; Enterobacteriaceae.
GUAAUGUCUGGGAAACUGCCUGAUGGAGGGGGAUAACUACUGGAAACGGUGGCUAAUACCGCAUAACGUCGCAAGACCAAAGAGGGGGACCUUCGGGCCUCUUGCCAUCAGAUGUGCCCAGAUGGGAUUAGCUUGUUGGUGAGGUAACGGCUCACCAAGGCGACGAUCCCUAGCUGGUCUGAGAGGAUGACCAGCCACACUGGAACUGAGACACGGUCCAGACUCCUACGGGAGGCAGCAGUGGGGAAUAUUGCACAAUGGGCGCAAGCCUGAUGCAGCCAUGCCGCGUGUAUGAAGAAGGCCUUCGGGUUGUAAAGUACUUUCAGCGGGGAGGAAGGUGUUGUGGUUAAUAACCGCAGCAAUUGACGUUACCCGCAGAAGAAGCACCGGCUAACUCCGUGCCAGCAGCCGCGGUAAUACGGAGGGUGCAAGCGUUAAUCGGAAUUACUGGGCGUAAAGCGCACGCAGGCGGUCUGUCAAGUCGGAUGUGAAAUCCCCGGGCUCAACCUGGGAACUGCAUUCGAAACUGGCAGGCUUGAGUCUUGUAGAGGGGGGUAGAAUUCCAGGUGUAGCG